AUUGAACGCUGGCGGCAGGCCUAACACAUGCAAGUCGAACGAGUGGCGGACGGGUGAGUAAUGUCUGGGAAACUGGCCGAUGGCGGGGGAUAACUACUGGAAACGGUAGCUAAUACCGCAUACCAUCGGAUGUGCCCAGAUGGGAUUAGCUAGUUGGUGGGGUAAAGGCCUACCAAGGCGACGAUCCGUAACUGGUCUGAGAGGAUGAGCAGGCACACUGGAACUGAGAGACGGUCCAGACUCCUACGGGAUGGAGCAGAGGGGAAUAUUGGACAAUGGGCGAAAACCUGAUCCAGCCAUGGCGCGUGUGUGAAGAAGGUCUUCGGAUUGUAAAGCACUUUAAGUUGGGAGGCGUUACCAACAGAAUAAGCACCGGCUAACUACGUGCCAGCAGCCGCGGUAAUUC
This 406-nucleotide ribosomal RNA is filed under the name uncultured bacterium. RNAcentral's name for it is "partial 16S ribosomal RNA". It matches the Rfam family "Bacterial small subunit ribosomal RNA", at positions 30 to 526 of the family's 1533-position model. The record is from RNAcentral.